Molecule: long non-coding RNA, 953 nt
Filed under: Olea europaea (common olive)
Lineage: Eukaryota; Viridiplantae; Streptophyta; Magnoliopsida; Lamiales; Oleaceae
Description: long non-coding RNA (OEUR_LNC006090)
Source: RNAcentral
UCAAAUUUAAAAGUACCCGAGAAUGAAGUGAACAAUUAGGAUAUAACUGUAUAAGAGAGAGUGAAGUUAACAAAAUUUGUUAUAUCGUUUUACGGCAUUGAUAAUACAAAGACCACUGUCAGUGUAUCUAAGAAACUAAAACGAGAUGACUAACAACAGAAAUCCUCAGUCAGGGCAUUCCUUCGGUGGGCUUUCACCAUUUACUCCACCAUAGCAUCCAGGGAAGUUUUUGCAGCCGGUUUUUGAGAUUUUCUCUUGUUCUUACCUGAAGAGAGAGAUGGAGGUUAAACUCAAUACUCACAUAAGCAAUUAACAGCUAAAACUCAAUUUACGUACAUUUUAACAUUCAUUACAUCAUAAAACUGAAUGUAAAACACCCACCUUGCCCCUAUUUCAACAUUGUGACAUAGGGAAAUAUGUUGAAAUCUGAAAAUUUACUGGAUUCAAAAUUGCAACACUUCAUUACCUCUUAAACAAGCAAAUAUUCACGAGAAAAAACAUUAAAACAUCUUACUGUAGAAUUUGUUCAAUUCAGAAACGUUUUCACAACCAAAGCCCUAAAAGACGUGAAUUCUAGGGCCCGUUUAGUAGUAAUUUUGAGAAUUGAUUUUUUUGACCAUUAAGGAGAAAAGUGGAAGCCACAUGUGAGUGAAGUCAUUUGAAUAAUGAAAUAACGGUCAAAAAAUCAUUUUUUUUGGAUGAAAAAUCAUAACCAAACGAGGCCCUAAGGGGCUUUAUUCAAUGAAGAUUGUCAAAUAUGAUAGGAUUAAGCUCAAGUACUAUGCCAAGUUUAAUUAGUUUUGUUGUGCAUAUAUGAGAAGAAUAUGUGUGAUGAUCCUGGACUAAAUUGUUUUCAAAAAAACUGUAUCAGUAGAUCCUAAUUACUUCUCAUGAUUCAUAACACCCCACAAAUCAUGAAAAAUAAUCCACCUCGUAAAGAUGACAAAUCAACA